UCACAACCACCUGCAAAAACAACAAUCAUUCAAUAUUCCUCAUCACUUCACUGAAACCCACAACUCUGUUAUCAACCAUCUUCUUCUUCAAUCAAAUCCCUCUGCAUCUUCUUCUUGCAAUUGAACUCAAAAAUUGAAGAUAUCCUUGUUUUUAUUUGUUAGGAAGAGAGAGAGAGAGAGAGAUGAUAGGGUACAUGAAUAAAAUAGAAGUUUCACACAAUCAUUUUGCGUUCCGUGAGGAAUAUUCAUGGGGAAGGGUCAAGGGUAAAGGCACGUGAAAGAUCUUGGAACUUGACAAAACUGCGCGAUACAGACAAAUUAUGGAGAAUCCUUGUCUUCUUCCUCGCUCCACCUGUGAUUUAUCUGGUGUUUGAUGAAAUAGCCUUGGCGCUUUCUCUUGAUCUAGACUUCGCUCCCUCUUCUGCUUGAUCUUUGGUACAGGAACAGACAGUGCUUUCUUAUCAGCAGGCUCGAACCGGCGAGGCUCAAUGAGUUUGGAGUACUUGGGGUAGUUGAUGAGUCUGGUAUCAUCUAGAAAAAUGCUUCUGUCAGGCCUUCUAGGCACUACCACCGACCGAUGGUCGCCGGUGCUCAUGCACACCGCCGUUGAUGCCUGAGAGUGGCACAUGAAACCCCUCCUCAUUUUCCUGUUAGUGCUCUUCAGGCUCAUGAUAACGUCCCAGAGAGAUACAGAUAGAGAGCCUCUAAAGGAGAAGAUGAAUAGGCGAAAUGGUGAACAGAAGGUGUAGACUUAUAUCACAAGUUUUUUGAAGGUUCACUGCUCUGGUGUAUGGUCGUAGCUGGUGAAACAGAAACAGAGCUAGUUACUAGUUAGGACCAAUGGCAUUAUAUUUUGAUCAUGCAUGAAGUAACAGAUAUAUGAAGCAUUCAUGGGGGUAGGAGAUAAUGACAAAGGAACUUUUUGCUGUGACCUAGAAAUCCAGCAUUUCAGUUGAAGUACAGCACUAGACUUUAAUGCAGCACCCGCUUUCUAUAUUGUGUCCUUAACUUUGAUCAGGAUUCAAGAACCUCCAUACUGAAGCUUCGACUAGGUCUAGAUCGCAGGUAAGAGAUUUGGAAAGGAAGAUCUGGAAAUGCAAGGCUAUAGAUAUAGCCACAACAUCAUUCAGGUGGAGAGGUGUUGGAUACAAGCUAUCAUUCUUCUGGCACAAGUCAAGGGCUUGACAUGUCAUGAUUAGAUUUAGCCUAGAAGAAGAAAAACUCCUCCUUAUAUAGGAGUUAUGAAAAUUAUUGAUGCUUGCGUAAAGUAGAGAGGAUUUGAUCUAAUAUGGUCUUGUAUUUGAAUCUUUUAAAUUGGAAAAGAUUUCAUGUUGGGAGAGUCAUCCUCAUUUAGAGUCA
Molecule: long non-coding RNA, 1359 nt
Organism: Prosopis cineraria
Lineage: Eukaryota; Viridiplantae; Streptophyta; Magnoliopsida; Fabales; Fabaceae
Exons: 4
Source: RefSeq, a predicted model, not a curated record